GGAUGACGGCCUUCGGGUUGUAAACCUCUUUCAGACAGGGAACAAAGCGUAAGUGACGGUACCUACAGAAGAAGCAACGGGCCAACGCCGUGCCAGCAAGCACGUGAGAGUAGGGCGCGAGAGGUUGUCCGGAUUUAUUGGGGGAAAGAGCUCAUAGACAGCUUGUCGCGUCGCCCGUGAAAACCUGGGGCUCAACCCCAGACCUGCGGUCGAUACGGGCAGGCUAGAGUUCGGUAGGGGAGACUGGAAUUCCUGGUGUAGCGGUGAAAUGCGCAGAUAUCAGGAGGAACACCGGUGGCGAAGGCGGGUCUCUGGGCCGAUACUGACGCUGAGGAGCGAAAGCGUGGGGAGCGAACAGGAUUAGAUACCCUGGUAGUCCACGCUGUAAACGUUGGGCGCUAGGUGUGGGGGGCCUCUCCGGUUCCCUGUGCCGCAGCUAACGCAUUAAGCGCCCCGCCUGGGGAGUACGGCCGCAAGGCUAAAACUCAAAGGAAUUGACGGGGGCCCGCACAAGCGGCGGAGCAUGCGGAUUAAUUCGAUGCAACGCGAAGAACCUUACCUGGGUUUGACAUGGCCGCAAAACUGUCAGAGAUGGCAGGUCCUUCGGGGGCGGUCACAGGUGGUGCAUGGCUGUCGUCAGCUCGUGUCGUGAGAUGUUGGGUUAAGUCCCGCAACGAGCGCAACCCUCGUUCGAUGUUGCCAGCGCGUUAUGGCGGGGACUCAUCGAAGACUGCCGGGGUCAACUCGGAGGAAGGUGGGGAUGACGUCAAGUCAUCAUGCCCCUUAUGUCCAGGGCUUCACGCAUGCUACAAUGGCCGGUACAAUGGGCUGCGAUACCGUGAGGUGGAGCGAAUCCCAAAAAGCCGGUCUCAGUUCGGAUCGGGGUCUGCAACUCGACCCCGUGAAGUCGGAGUCGCUAGUAAUCGCAGAUCAGCAACGCUGCGGUGAAUACGUUCCCGGGCCUUGUACACACCGCCCGUCACGUCACGAAAGUCGGCAACACCCGAAGCCGGUGGCCCAACCCUUGUGGAGGGAGCCGUCGAA
RNAcentral lists this ribosomal RNA (1044 nucleotides) under Micromonospora sp. FXJ7.132. RNAcentral describes it as "bacterial SSU rRNA". It matches the Rfam family "Bacterial small subunit ribosomal RNA", at positions 406 to 1460 of the family's 1533-position model. The record is from RNAcentral. Lineage: Bacteria; Bacillati; Actinomycetota; Actinomycetes; Micromonosporales; Micromonosporaceae.